Long non-coding RNA from Lycium barbarum (goji berry), 4922 nucleotides. RefSeq lists it as uncharacterized. Lineage: Eukaryota; Viridiplantae; Streptophyta; Magnoliopsida; Solanales; Solanaceae. The record is from RefSeq and is a predicted model, not a curated record. The transcript is spliced from 3 exons.
UUGAGUAUGACUUAUAUAGAGAGGUAAUUUACAAAGAGUGUACCGCUAUAACGAAUGUCAUUGCGAUUAUAGAUAGAAUGUUGUUAUAGAGAAGUAAAAUAUAAUAUGAAAAAUCAGUUCCAGAGAAAAUCAAGCCUUUAUAGUGAAAUACUGUUAUAACGAAUAACAAUUAUAGAGAGUUUUGACUGUAUAUAGAAUAGGAGAGGCAAAAGCAUGAUGGAAUGACAAGUGUCAUCACCACAAAAUUCAGAAUUUAAAAAUACAAAAUAAAAAAUAUUUUUAAAAAAUGCAAUAGUUAAAUAAAAACUACAUUACUCAGCAAAUAAAAAAACAAAAAACUGCAAAUUCGAAAAAACCUACGACAAAUUAGAUAAACACCAUAUUGUCAAAAAAAAAAAAAAAAAUACAAAUCCACGUUAGCAAAUUAUUUUGAUUACUGUACUAACUUAUCUCAAAUAAGGAAAAAACCCCACAACAAAUAACUGCAAUGGGUAAGUUAUUAUCAUUACACGCAGAGGUCCUUUCUCUCCCAAAUCUCCACCUGCGUUCCAAGUACUUUUCCACUAGCGUUCUAGGCCUAAUUCACCGGCGUUCAUGAUCCGGUAUUCCCAGGUAAGUUAACCAAUUUCUUUAGGUUUGUUCUAUUUGUUGUUGCAACUCAUUUGCACACAUUUAUAAAUGAUACAUGUUUGUUUAUGAAUUUGUGGGGGUAAGACUGAUUCGGAGACGAAAUGAGCUAUUUGAAAGUUUUUUAUGGGAUGAAAUUGGUUAUUUAUUUGUUAGCUUUCAAAUGUGGAGGUCUUCUUUCUUUUGCACAUAACAUGUUUGGUGAAAGUCCUAUUCAAACUCUUACAAGAAUGGUGGCCAAAAAUGAAUUGGUGAAGACUUUUGUACCUUUUGAGGUGGCGGCACCCGCUCGAGGAACCAAAGGAAGAUCACCCCUAAGCCAGUUGCUUCUACACCCGAGCAAAUUUUAGCAACUAAAGUACAAUAUAGUAACAUUUCUCAGUUACUGUUCUUUCUUAGUCAUUCUUUGUUCCUCCUCUAUGAAUGCCUUUAACGAUUAAGAUGGUGGAACAGAUUGUUUGGACAUGUCUAUAUGGCGAGGGAAUUUGGUAGUAUGAAGUAUGGAUAGGACGACCAACCGUUCACUGUUUAUGUACAUGUCAGUCUAAACAUGGAAUAUUUCAUUGCCAGAAUCAACAUCAGAUUGUGGUCCAGAGACUUCUACGAGACCUCAUAUUUAGCUUAAGGCCAGUUUCCGACAGGUUUUAGGAUCGUGAGGACUCGUGCGACAGAAGUAGCUAAUGAGGUACCUGCGCCGAUCGCUGGGGUUGCAGUGCAUGGUAGAGGACAGGCUGCUGGGGCCCGGCCAGAAAUCGUGGCCGUGGUGGUGCCAGGGGAGCAGCAGCACCAGCCAGGGGCGGGGCUCCUGCGGCUAGUCAGCAACGCGCUGAGUCCCAUGAGCCUCAGGAAUUCCAAAUGAGGCAGCAGAGUUUGCAACAGCGCCGACACAACCAGAUAUUAUAGCUCCUCCAGUGCUGUCCGAUGUGAUGGUCUGAGUGUUGAACUUGCUGAAUGGUUUGACAGAGGCAGGUGUGUUACUAGCUGUUCUAGGUGCACAGGGUGCCAGAGUGGGUAAUCCAGCUCCGGGCAGAGUUCGUGCUCCGGGGUUACAACAUGCUGCAGCUGUGGCUCCUCGUUUGGAUAAGGCUACAGAACUGGGUGUACUUCCUAGGCCAGUGGGAGGUCCGGUGUUGACCGAGGAUGAGCAUGAUUUGUUUUGGAGGUUCACUAAGAUGAAAUCUCCAGAGUUCUACGAUUCUGAGGUUGAGAAUGCUUACGAGUUCAUUAUGGACUGGCAUGAGAAGCUCUAUAAGAUGGGGGCAGUAGAGAAAUAUGGUGUUGAGUUCGUGACCUUCCAGCUCUUGGGUGAUGCCAAGUUAUGGUGGAGGGCUUUUGUGGAGUGCAGGCCAGCGGGAUGACCUCCGCUGACUUGGACACAGUUCUAUUAGGUAUUUUUAGAUAAGUAUGUUCCUCGUACUUUGAGGGACCGCAGGCGUGAUGAGUUAAGCAAUAUUGAGCAGGGUAAUUUGUCUGUGGCUGCUUAUGAGGUUCGGUUUCAUUUGGUAUGUCACUAUGCCCUCCAGCUUGUGCCUACUAAAGAGGAGAGGGUUAGGAGAUUUGUGAAGGGGUUGAACACUGCCCUUCAGUUGUUAGCUCUUCAGUUUGUAGCUAUAGGUGCUUCCUUUCAGGAAGUGAUGGAUCAUGUUAGGACUGUCGAGGGAGUUCGGCAGGAGGGUUACCAUAAGCACGCGGAGAAGAAGGCCCGAAAGGGUGGUGGUUACAGUGGUUCUUUCGCUAAGGGCCAGAAUUCUCAGUUUUAUAUGGGAUGCCCUAUUCAGGCAGCUAUGCAGGUUUCAGCUGAGGCCCAUCAGGGGUUAGUCAGCACUAUUCCAGUUAGCCAAGGGGUUCGCAGACUAGAGCUCCAGAUUAUGGUGGUUACUUGGCUUCAUCUAUUUCUGUUCAUCGUCCGACGCUAGACCUUGAAUGCUUUAAGUGUGGUGAUACGGGGCAUUUCAAGAGGAAUUAUUCCAGACUUGGGCAAGGUGGUCAGGGUAGUCAGUUUCAGGCUCCCCGAGCCCAGCAUCAGGUAGAGGGAGAGGAUCUUAUGGUGGGAAUAGUUCUCAGUCUGGGCGUGGCAGUCACGCAGCUGGCAGAGGUGGCCCCCAGCCUAACGGAUAUGGGUUUCAUUCUGGUAGAGUUGGUCAUUAGCCCAGCAGGGGCGGAGCUCAGACAAGAUAGGUUGAUCGCAAUGGUUCGCAGGCUACUAGCGGACGGGUUUAUUGUUAUGCCUUUCCUGGCAGGACAGAGGCUGAGGGCUCAGAUGCAGUUAUUACACGUAACAUCUCAUUCUGUCACCGGAUGACUUCUGUAUUUUUUGACCCGGGUUCUACGUUUUCUUAUGUGUCUACAUAUUUCUCUAUGGGUCUUGAUAUGGUCAGUGAUUUACUUGAUGCCCCUAUACAUCUAUCUACCCCAGUUGGAGAUUCUGUGGUUGUAGAUAGAGUUUUUCGAUCUUAUACUGUCACACUUAUGGGGUAUGGCACCUGGGUUGACUUAGUGAUUUUAGACAUGGUAGAUUUUGAUGUCAUCCUGUGUAUGAGUUGGCUAGCUCCUUACCAUGCAAUUCUAGACUGUCAUGCAAGACAUUCGCCUUAGCUAUGUCCCAGGGUGCCUAGACUUGAUUGGAAGGGUAACCUUAGUCCCUCCCCAAAGAAAAUAAUUUCCUUUAUUCUUGAGAAGAAGCUAGUGGACAGGGGGCGUUUGGCUUAUUUGGCACAUAUUUGUGAUACUAGUGUUGACGGUUCAUCUCUUGAAUCAGUUCCUGUGGUACGGGAGUCUGCGGAGGUGUUCCCCGCAGACUCGCCAGGCAUGCCACCGGACCAUGACAUUGACUUUUGCAUUGACUUAGAGCCAGGGACCCACCAUAUUUCUAUUCCGCCAUAUCGGAUGGCACCAACAAAGUUGAAGGAAUUAAAGGAACAACUUUAAGAUCUUCUUAGUAAGGGUUUCAUCCGUCCGAGUGUAUCCCCGUGGGGUGCUCCCGUUCUAUUUGUGAAAAAGAAAGAUAGGACUAUGCGAAUGUGCAUUGAUUAUCGCUAGUUAAAUAAAGUCACCAUCCGGAAUAAAUACCCCAUCCCUUGUAUUGAUGAUUUAUUUGACCAGCUACGAGGGGCUUCUGUGUUUUCGAAAAUUGACUUGAGGUCGGGUAUCCGAUAAGUUGGUAUUUUACAAAUUUAUCUCUUCUUUAAUCUCAUAUUUUUGCUAUAUUUGAUUGAGAAAAUAGUGCAUUUAAUACCGUUUACAUCUAUUUUAUAGGUUUUAUGUGAUUUAGAAGUGAUCGGAAGAAAUGAAGUGAAAAUAAAGUAAAAAAUAGGCCGAAUUGGACAAAAACUGCACAGUUUUGUAAAAACGGGCUAGAUUUGCAAAAAAUGAAAAUCAGGGAUUGUUUUGGUCUAAUUUUGAGUGGAAAAAUUUUGGGACUACAAAAGCAAGCUUGAAGACAUUAUUUUUCAUCUUUGGCCAUUUUUACACAAUUUUGGGAGCUAGGGUUCAUCACCAACACUUUGGAAGAGAAGAUUUAGAGGCACCCAAUGAGAAAUUCUUUACUCAUUUCUUCUAUUCUUGCUAUGUAUUGAAUAUUUAUGUGUGUGGUAUUUCAUUCCAAUGCUUGAAUCUUGUUAAUGCAAAUAUUCAUAUGUUUAGUUUGGAUGAAUCUUUUAUUUUGCUUAUGCAUUAAAUAAUUUUUAUUUCUAAUUGAGUGGGUUUAUUGUUUCUUUAUUAACUCUUCAAGCUUUAAUGUCAUUUAAUGGUGUAUAACAUUAUUUGUGCCUAAAUACCCUUACUUUGCUUGGAAAAGAAAGUAGAGGUUAGGAAAAAAGUUAAUAGCAAGGAUUUGGGGCUUAACCCUCAUCUAAUAACUUGAGCUAGGAAUAGGAUAGUUAACUUGAGAUUCAAUUGGUAGUGUUUAAUUUCACACUCUAAAGCUUGAAAAAGUUUAGAGUGAAAUUCAUUGAUUUGGUUGGAGGACUUUCAAUGAGAUUUUUGAAACUAUUAUCUAUUAACAUAAACUCGCUCUUAGUUGUAAAAUUGUAAAAUACAUUGGAUCGUUACUUGAGAGUAAUUUCCCUUGUAUCCAUGCUUGUGGCCAUUAAUCAUUUUACUUGCUUUCUAGGUUAGUUUACAUUUUUGCAUUAGUUAUAAUUUCUCAAAACCAAAAUAUUAUCAAGUAUUUGGCUUAGUGUAGAAAGUGAAAAUUCCUUACUUGCUUGAUCGCCUAGUAUAUUGUUCCUUGUGGGAUUUGACCCCGACUCAUAGUUGGGUAAUUAUAUUGCAUAUGACCGUGUACAGUUUCUCUU